Molecule: ribosomal RNA, 253 nt
Filed under: uncultured bacterium
Lineage: Bacteria
Description: partial 16S ribosomal RNA
Rfam family: Bacterial small subunit ribosomal RNA
Source: RNAcentral
UACGUAGGUGGCAAGCGUUAUCCGGAAUUAUUGGGCGUAAAGAGCGCGCAGGUGGUUAAUUAAGUCUGAUGUGAAAGCCCACGGCUUAACCGUGGAGGGUCAUUGGAAACUGGUUGACUUGAGUGCAGAAGAGGGAAGUGGAAUUCCAUGUGUAGCGGUGAAAUGCGUAGAGAUAUGGAGGAACACCAGUGGCGAAGGCGGCCUCCUGGUCUGCAACUGACACUGAGGCGCGAAAGCGUGGGGAGCAAACAGG